CCAGCAGUCGCUCGGUCGGACAUUACCGUUUCUUUUAACCCGCAGAAGACAAAAUUACUUCCUAAAGAAAUGCUGGUGCAGGUGGAGCAUCAGGCAGUCCAGAAAUGGGUUCGGGUUCCAGUGACAGAUGACUGCUAUGAUUACUUGAAAUUCAUUCAAGAGGUUCAUGCUAAAUUCAACUUGGCAAGUG
Molecule: long non-coding RNA, 190 nt
Organism: Archocentrus centrarchus (flier cichlid)
Lineage: Eukaryota; Metazoa; Chordata; Actinopteri; Cichliformes; Cichlidae
Exons: 3
Source: RefSeq, a predicted model, not a curated record